This 109-nucleotide non-coding RNA is filed under the name Palpitomonas bilix. The record is from RNAcentral.
AGACAGGCAAAACAAAAAAGGGGGAAGCAAAGCAGAGCAGCACGCGUAUUUGCAGCAAAACGCUUUUUCACUUUUUGUUUGUUUGUUUGCUUGCUUCUUACUUAAAAUU